CGGGGUGCACCAGGUGCGAAAACUUUACAAUGCUGGCAACAGCGAUAAGGGGACCUUGAGUGCCAGGAUACAAUCCUGGCUGUCGUGAUGCCUAAAAAGCAUUAUAUAGCAAGGGCCGGGCAAGACCGGUGCCAGCCGCCGCGGUAACACCGGCGGCUCGAGUGGUAACCGCUAUUAUUGGGUCUAAAGGGUCUGUAGCCGGCUUGGUUAGUCUCUUGGGAAAUCCGGCAGCUUAACUGUCGGGCUUUCAGGAGAUACUGCCAGGCUCGAGACCGGGAGAGGUGAGAGGUACUUCAUGGGUAGGGGUGAAAUCUUGUAAUCCUUGAAGGACCACCAGUGGCGAAGGCGUCUCACCAGAACGGAUCUGACGGCAAGGGACGAAAGCUAGGGGCACGAACCGGAUUAGAUACCCGGGUAGUCCUAGCCGUAAACGAUACUCGCUAGGUGUCGGCCACGGUGCGACCGUGGUCGGUGCCGUAGGGAAGCCGUGAAGCGAGCCACCUGGGAAGUACGGCCGCAAGGCUGAAACUUAAAGGAAUUGGCGGGGGAGCACAAGGGCGAUUCGC
RNAcentral lists this ribosomal RNA (566 nucleotides) under uncultured archaeon. Its description in RNAcentral is "bacterial SSU rRNA". It matches the Rfam family "Archaeal small subunit ribosomal RNA", at positions 326 to 894 of the family's 1478-position model. The record is from RNAcentral.